RNAcentral lists this unclassified non-coding RNA (294 nucleotides) under Pyronemataceae sp. Its description in RNAcentral is "partial contains 5.8S ribosomal RNA, internal transcribed spacer 2, and large subunit ribosomal RNA". The stretch from base 1 to 52 matches the Rfam family "5.8S ribosomal RNA", at positions 103 to 154 of the family's 154-position model. The record is from RNAcentral. Lineage: Eukaryota; Fungi; Ascomycota; Pezizomycetes; Pezizales; Pyronemataceae. RNAcentral also lists the same sequence under 2 other names.
AACGCACCUUGCGCUCCUUGGUAUUCCGAGGAGCAUGCCUGUUUGAGUGUCAUUAAUAUAUCAACCUCUUCAGCUUUUGCUUAUUGAGUGUUGGAUGUGGGGGUCUUUUGCUGGUCUUUUAAAAGAGAUCAGCUCCCCUAAAAUGUAUUAGCAGAACAAUUUGUUGAUCGUUCAUUGGUGUGAUAAUUAUCUACGCUAUUGACGUGAAGCAGUUCAGCUUCUAACUGUCCAUUGACUUGGACAAUUUUUCAUUAAUGUGACCUCAAAUCAGGUAGGACUACCCGCUGAACUUAA